This 253-nucleotide ribosomal RNA is filed under the name uncultured bacterium. Its description in RNAcentral is "partial 16S ribosomal RNA". It matches the Rfam family "Bacterial small subunit ribosomal RNA", at positions 524 to 776 of the family's 1533-position model. The record is from RNAcentral.
UACGUAGGGCGCAAGCGUUAUCCGGAAUUAUUGGGCGUAAAGAGCUCGUAGGCGGUUUGUCGCGUCUGCCGUGAAAGUCCGGGGCUUAACUCCGGAUCUGCGGUGGGUACGGGCAGACUUGAGUGAUGUAGGGGAGGCUGGAAUUCCUGGUGUAGCGGUGAAAUGCGCAGAUAUCAGGAGGAACACCGAUGGCGAAGGCAGGUCUCUGGGCAUUAACUGACGCUGAGGAGCGAAAGCAUGGGGAGCGAACAGG